GAUGAAGAACGUAGUGAAAUGCGAUAAGUAAUGUGAAUUGCAGAAUUCAGUGAAUCAUCGAAUCUUUGAACGCACCUUGCGCUCCUUGGUAUUCCGAGGAGCAUGCCUGUUUGAGUGUCAUUAAAUUCUCAACCUCACCAGUUUUGUAACGAGACAGGUGAAGGCUUGGAUGUGUGGGGGAUUUGCAGGCUGCCUCAGUGCUGGUCUGCUCUCCUGAAAUGCAUUAGCGAGCUCAUAUUGAGCUUCCGUCUAUUGGUGUGAUAAUUAUCUACGCCGUGGAUUGGACUCAUGCUUGCUUCUAACCGUCCGCAAGGACAAUUUACUUGACCAAUUUGACCUCAAAUCAGGUAGGACUACCCGCUGAACUUAAGCAUAUCAAUAAGCGGAGGA
Molecule: unclassified non-coding RNA, 390 nt
Filed under: soil metagenome
Description: partial contains 5.8S ribosomal RNA, internal transcribed spacer 2, and large subunit ribosomal RNA
Rfam family: 5.8S ribosomal RNA (bases 1-120)
Source: RNAcentral